AGAACAGUGAGUGACGUUUGAUAAAAAUGAAGAAAUAAUGACAAGAGAAAAUAUUGUCUCAAUUGUAUCAGAUUAACCGAAACCAUUAACGUCAGAGCUUGAUGGAACAAUCACCCAUCAUUUUAAACAAAAUCAUCAGGCUGAGUUUGACCAAGAGCUCGGAUUUACCACCUCUGACUUAGGACAUAGGACCCUCCGAGGGAUUUUACAAGCCAUUCUGAGGAACAUUUUGGGUCUUGUGCUCAAGGAAAUGGCUUCUUCAAGGAUUCCACAAGAUAAGUUAUACCCUCAGUUCUUUGCUUUACAUGGACAAGAGCUUUGACCUCCAAAACUGGGUGAAAUGAGACAUUUGCUUGUAUUUGUUUUUAUUUUAAGCAGCUCUUCAUAUGUAUAAUUUCCUUUUGCCCCAUUGAGAAGAGUACAUUAUAAUUUCCAGAGAAUUCAAACUUUCUUUUCAGUUUUUAAAUCUGUGACUUGGAUACAUCUCGGGGAAAUUCUGCCCAAGAACCAGUGGAGACCAAACUGGGAUGAGAAGACACAUCGACAGUGAUUUACCCAAGAUGGGGUUUAUUUAGUAGCACCAACUGCCAGUCCUUCCCAUACAGAUGCCUAUGGGGCAGACAGAUAGGAAGACAGCAAGCCACUCACAAACAUGAAUAGAAAGGGAGAAAUGCUCGUUCAUUCCUUGUUUCUUUUAUUCAUUUCACCAAUAUUUACUGAGCACUUACUAUGGUCCAGACCAUGUUGGGCAUUGAGGAUAUGAAGCGAACAAGACAGUCAUUAUCUUUCCCUUAUAGGACUUACACCAGUAUCUCUGCUCUAGAGAUUUGGAUAGAGAGUGUCAAAUAUGAAAACAUGCCAGGGGGCUCAUUUAGCCAGCAGUUUUUACCCAGAUUAAUGGCUGAUCAGAAAAGAAAGGCCAAAGCACAAUUCAGCUAGCAUAUACAUAAGCCACAAAUGUAACAAUUCAAAGCCAUCUGAUGGACAUGAACACUAAAAUGUGAGGAUUUGAGCAUACUAAAUAAAUUGUUAAUUCUACUGUAGAAACUCCUUCUAUCUGGAAUUCAAGGAGAACUUUUACUUAAAUAUUAGUAGAAAUACUUUUAUGAUUAUUGCUUAAUGUGUUAGCAUACCAGCUGACCUCAGCCAAUUUGGUCAUGCAAAACUCUUAGGGUUUUUUUGUUUUGUUUUGUUUUUGUUUUUGUUUUGGUAGAAAAUGGCAGCUUUUAAAGAGGUUAGAGGUGGCUGAGCAUUCACUUCUCCCCCUACAAUCUGGCUAGUAGACUCUAAGGAAAGCUAAUUUCAAAGAAAACUCUGACACAUCCAGCUCUUUUCAGUUGAGGGGUUAUUAUCAAGCAAGCACAGAAGCAGCUCAUACAACUUGCUCUGUGAGCUCACUGAAGUCUCAGGCUUCUGUCCUGUUAGGUGCUCAGACCUUGCUUGGAAGGUCACUUGAGAUAGACACCCGCAAUUCCACAGAGGGGCUUCUGCUAACCAUGUGGACAGCUUCAGGCAGGCAGAGCCCUGGGGAUUCCUGGCUGGACACAGAACCAUAAAAAGAUCAAGAUUCAGGCAAAAUCACCAAAUAUCAUUGAUCCUUUGGUUGUUUAUACCCUGUUAUAAUACAGGGGAGUAUUUCCAUAAUAUUUUAGCCAAUCCACAUACUUUGAUUACCUUCAAUUUCACCAAAAGAGAACACUUUUAAGCAUGCAUCAGCUUAUUAACAAGCCACAAGUUUAACCCAAAUCUGCAUGCUAAUCAGACAAGCCAAAGUAAGAUACAGAUAAAAGAAGCUCUGCAAUACUUGUUCCAGCAGAGGGUUUUCCUCUGUAACCUGAGGCAAGUGUACCUGCCUGGUUGAAUUCUGUGAGGGCCUGAGUUUUAGCUCAACCCAAGUAACAGGCAUGUAAUCUCACAGUGUCUGUGCUGCAGUAUUUAAAGUAAAUUGCAAGUGAUAAAAUAGUCAAGGAAGCACUAUUAUUACUUGCUAUUACUUAUUAAUAAUAAAAUUAGUAUUAAUUACUAUUAUGGAUUACUAUUUAUGUUUUAGUUACUUAUUUAUGUAAGUACUGAUAAUUUGGGGAAAACUGUAUUGUUUUAAGUGAAAUGAGAAGAUAGGGCAUAAUAGUAACCAAACGAAAGGAAAUAACCAUUAAGAAACCCUUCACACAGAGAUAGAUAGAUAGAUUGGUAGAUAGAUUGAUUUACCUUUUUUUUUUUAUUAUACUUUAAGUUCUAGGGUACAUGUGCACAACGUGCAGGUUUGUUACAUAUGUAUACAUGUGGCAUGUUGGUGUGGUGCACCCAUUAACUGGUCAUUUACAUGAGGUGUAUCUCCUAAUGCUAUCCCUCUCCCCUCCCCCAACCCCAUGACAGGCCCUGGUGUGUGAUGUUCCCCUUCCCAUGCCCAGGUGUUCUCAUUGUUCAAUUCCCACCUAUGAGUGAGAACAUGCAGUGUUUGUCUUUUCGUCCUUGCGAUAGUUUGCCAAGAAUGAUGGUUUUCAGCUUCAUCCAUGUCCCUAAAAAGGACAUGAACUCAUCCUUUUUUAUGGCUGCAUAAUAUUCCAUGGUGUAUAUGUGCCACAUUUUCUUAAUCCAGUCUAUCAUUGAUGGACAUUUGGGUUGGUUCUAAGUUUUUACUAUUGUGAAUAGUGCUGCAAGAAACAUAUGUGUGCAUGUGUCUUUAUAGCAGCAUGAUUUAUUAUCCUUUGGGUAUAUAACCAGUAAUGGGAUGGCUGGGUCAAAUGGUAUUUCUAGUUCUAGAUCCUUGAGGAAUCGCCACACUGUCUACCACAAUGGUUGAACUAGUUUACAGUCCCACCAACAGUGUAAAAGUGUUUCUAUUUCUCCACAGCCUCUCCAGCACCUGUUGUUUCCUGAUUUUAUAAUGAUUGCCAUUCUAACUGGAGCGAGAUGGUAUCUCAUUGUGGUUUUGAUUUGCAUUUCUCUGAUGGCCAGUGAUGAUGAGCAUUCUUUCAUGUGUCUGUUGGCUGCAUAAACGUCUUCUUUUGAGAAGUGUCUGUUCAUAUCCUUUGCCCAUUUUUUGAUGUGGUUGUUUUAUUUUUUCUUGUAAAUUUGUUUGAGUUCUUUGUAGAUUCUGGAUAUUAGCCCUUUGCAAAAAUUUUCUCCCAUUCUGUAGGUUGCCUGUUCACUCUGAUGGUAGUUUCUUUUGCUGUGCAGAAACUCUUUAGUUUAAUUAGAUCCCAUUUGUCAAUUUCGGCUUUUGUUGCCACUGCUUUGGUGUUUUAGUCAUGAAGUCCUUGCCCAUGCCUAUGUCCUGAAUGGUAUUGCUUAGGUUUUCUUCUAGGAUUUUUAUGGUUUUAGGUCUAACAUUUAAGUCUUUAAUCCAUCUUGAAUUAAUUUUUGUAUAAGGUGUAAGGAAGGGAUCUAGUUUCAGCUUUCUACAUAUGGCUAGCCAGUUUUCCCAGCACCAUUUAUUAAAUAGGGAAUCCUUUCCCCAUUUCUUGUUUUUGUCAGAUUUGUCAAAGAUCAGAUGGUUGUAGAUGUGUGGUAUUAUUUCUGAGGGCUCUGUUCUUAUCCAUUGGUCUAUAUCUCUGUUUUGGUACAAGUACCAUGCUGUUUUGGUUACUAUAGCCUUUUAGUAUAGUUUGAAGUCAGGUAGCAUGAUGCCUCCAGCUUUGUUCUUUUGGCUUAGGAUUGUCUUGGCAAUGUGGGCCCUUUUUUGGUUCCAUAUGAACUUUAAAGUAGUUUUUUCCAAUUCUGUGAAGAAAGUCAUUGGUAGCCUGAUGGGGAUGGCAUUGAAUCUAUAAAUUACCUUGGGCAGUAAGGCCAUUUUUGAUUUACUGAUAGAUGAUAGAUAGAUCCUACUAAAUAAAUAUGGGUUCUAGGCAGGGUGGUUUGCAGUGACUGUACCUAAAAUAUGACAGCAUUAAAUAUUCAUAGAGGUAUCAUCUUCAUAAGUCUACCUGGAACAAUGGAAAAUCUGAACCUAAAGCCACUUCCUGUUAGUCAAUCUUUAUCCUAUAGCAAAAUCUGAAAAAGCAUAACCAGACAAAUAAGUUGUGUAGUGAGUUCUUGUUGUGUGUUCAAUGCUUCACCUCCACCUCCUCAUCGGUCUGCUCCACAGCUUCGCAUGGCUGGCAAGCACCUCGGUGCCCACGGAGGAGCUGGGCAGGUACUGAGCUCUCUGCAAGGCCAUCCAGUUGGUGAACCACUGAGCUGGAUUACAACCUGGUCCAUGCGACCCUAAGCCCACGGUCUUUCUAUUCUACAACACUGAGUUUCUGACAAUUCUUGGCAAUGAUGACGCAACCUUGCAGGGGCUUCCUUGACGCUCCUGGGAACAGGAACACGUGGCUCCUUGAGAGCAGAACUUUCCUGCUUUGUUCCCUUCUGGAUUCGCAACACUAACAUCAUACUUGACAACUGGUAGGCACUCAGUAAGGAAGUGUUUCCAGAAGACCUGGAAGACAAGACAUAAUGUGGGGACACAAAGGCAGAUGAAGACUUAUUGCUCAUUCUUCUUUUUUCCACUUCCUGAAAUAGACAGUCCUUCCCUCCUGAUCCAAACCCGAUUCAUUGUGUCAUAUCUAACUAAAAUGGCACCUUUCCUA
RNAcentral lists this long non-coding RNA (4574 nucleotides) under Pan troglodytes (chimpanzee). Its description in RNAcentral is "lincRNA". The record is from RNAcentral. Lineage: Eukaryota; Metazoa; Chordata; Mammalia; Primates; Hominidae.